RNAcentral lists this transfer RNA (61 nucleotides) under Perinereis vancaurica. RNAcentral's name for it is "tRNA-Ser". The record is from RNAcentral. Lineage: Eukaryota; Metazoa; Annelida; Polychaeta; Phyllodocida; Nereididae.
UGUAACAUAUAAGAAUGAUUUUGAAAGUCAUUAGUAGGUGUUUAACCCCACCAUGUUACUU